CAGUCGCCACGGGAAUACAGAGGGUGCGAGCGUUAAUCGGAUUUACUGGGCGUAAAGCGUGCGUAGGCGGCUAAUUGAGUCGGAUGUGAAAUCCCCGAGCUUAACUUGGGAAUUGCAUUCGAUACUGGUUAGCUAGAGUGUGGGAGAGGAUGGUAGAAUUCCAGGUGUAGCGGUGAAAUGCGUAGAGAUCUGGAGGAAUACCGAUGGCGAAGGCAGCCAUCUGGCCUAACACUGACGCUGAGGUACGAAAGCAUGGGGAGCAAACAGGAUUAGAUACCCCGAUAGUCCCUGUCUCUUAUAC
This 301-nucleotide ribosomal RNA is filed under the name uncultured bacterium. Its description in RNAcentral is "partial 16S ribosomal RNA". It matches the Rfam family "Bacterial small subunit ribosomal RNA", at positions 509 to 807 of the family's 1533-position model. The record is from RNAcentral.